AGUGAACGCUGGCGGUAGGCCUAACACAUGCAAGUCGAACGGCAGCACAGUAAGAGCUCGCUCUUACGGGUGGCGAGUGGCGGACGGGUGAGGUAUACAUCGGAAUCUACUUUUUCGUGGGGGAUAACGUAGGGAAACUUACGCUAAUACCGCAUACGACCUACGGGUGAAAGCAGGGGAUCUUCGGACCUUGCGCGAUUGAAUGAGCCGAUGUCGGAUUAGCUAGUUGGCGGGGUAAAGGCCCACCAAGGCGACGAUCCGUAGCUGGUCUGAGAGGAUGAUCAGCCACACUGGAACUGAGACACGGUCCAGACUCCUACGGGAGGCAGCAGUGGGGAAUAUUGGACAAUGGGCGCAAGCCUGAUCCAGCCAUACCGCGUGGGUGAAGAAGGCCUUCGGGUUGUAAAGCCCUUUUGUUGGGAAAGAAAAGCAGCAGGUUAAUACCCCGCUGUUCUGACGGUACCCAAAGAAUAAGCACCGGCUAACUUCGUG
Molecule: ribosomal RNA, 492 nt
Filed under: uncultured bacterium
Lineage: Bacteria
Description: partial 16S ribosomal RNA
Rfam family: Bacterial small subunit ribosomal RNA
Source: RNAcentral